GCUCACGGCAACGCCGGAUCGUUAACCCACUGAGCAAGGGCAGGGACCGAACCCGCAACCUCAUGGUUCCUAGUCGGAUUCGUUAACCACUGCGCCACGACGGGAACUCCAGUUACUCUUUUUCUUUGGGAAGUACAUUCCUCCCGUGGCUGUGAUGCUCCCAGGAAAGAAAUAAGUGUGUUUUGUGAUAAGGAGAGGGCGUUAAGACUCUUUGGGCAUCUCCCUGUCUACCUGAUCACACUAAUCCAAGCUGCUAUCUGAUUUAAUAACAGAUUUCAUGAUCAGCAAAGGAAAGGUGAAUUUUCUUCAACAAGAGGGAAUGUCCUAGAUGGAUUUUAGCAUCUUUGGAUCUCAAAAACAAAUUGUUAAGAUGAAAAAAAGCCACUUGUGGAAUGACCCACAGUGUGACACCAUUUAUACAAUUUUUUUUUAAUGGCUGCACCCAGGGCACAUGGAAAUUCCCAGGCCAGCGAUUGAAUCCAAGCUGCAGCUGUGUCCGAUGCCGCCGCAGCUGCAGCAACACUGAUCCUUUAACCCAUUGCACUGAGCCGUAGAUCGAACCCGUGCUUCUGCAGUGACGGGAGCCGCUGCAGUUGGAUUCUUAACCCACUGCACCACAGUGGGAACUCCUAUAUAACUUGUAAGUAACACAAAGAACGGUGCAAUGCAUUAUUUACGGAUUCCCACAGGUCUGCUGGCACAGUGCUUAUACUGUGUAUCCACAUCACCUGGGGAUCAUGUUUAGCAGCAGGCUCUGAUUUAACAGGUCUGGGGAGGGGCCUGAAAUUCUGCCCUCUCACAAGCUCCCAGAGAUGCCAGUGCUCCGCUCCUUCAGGAGAGAAGAGAUGCAGGUCAAGUGAAACUGUUCUUUUGUCAUUUCGCUCCAUCUGGGUGCUAGAACCUCUCGUGUGUACUUCCGGACUCCCUCCCACAAAGGUGUACCUGAAAACUGAAUCUUUUAUUUUCCAUUUUGCCGUCACAUCACACAACCUCUAUCCGCAGGGAGGACAAGGCCUGGAAGCCCUCGUCAAACGGUUUCAUUUACCUCCAACUGCCAGAAACCGGGGGAAGCAGGGCCUUUAGAAGAAUCGAGGUGUAUCUGUGUUUUUUUUGAAAGGAGAUGUUUGUCCAGGUUCAAGCACUGCACCCUCUGUGGCAAGCGUCCCAGGUCCCAGGUCUCAGCCUGUCUCAGUUGCAUAGAAGAGAGACCCAGGAAAGGAAAGAUCAUAAUCCCUGAUAAUCUGCAGGUGAAAGGUUUGAAUGUUGGGUCCUGGGUCACCUUUGUGGCAAGUCACUUUUUAUACCCUAACCCAAUAUAAAGGGACUUUUCACAUAUACAUGUGAUGUCCUUUUCAAAGGAAGACCGUUGAACCAAGGAAUUAUUAUCUUGGUGGGUGUGUGUGUGUGUGUGUGUGUGUGUGUGUGUGUGUGUGUACUUUUCUCUCUGGAUACUAGAUGUCUGGUGUGUGUCCUUAAAUUUUCAAUCUUCCUUCCCUACUCCAGUAAUAGUUGGAAGUGUCUAUCCCUCAGUUGCUGAUUUCUUAUUUAGAAGAUGUUAAAGAGGAACUGGGACCCAAUCUCUGAAAACUUAACUCGGAGGAGCUAUUGAAACAGCAGGAUCCGGAUGCUUAAAACCAGGUACAGGAUAGAGGACAGUUGAAUCCUUGCAAUUUCUGAGCCUGUCUCCAAAUCCUCAAUACCUAUUACUUUUUUUUUU
Sus scrofa (pig) is the source of this 1717-nucleotide non-coding RNA. Lineage: Eukaryota; Metazoa; Chordata; Mammalia; Artiodactyla; Suidae. The record is from RefSeq and is a predicted model, not a curated record.